AACGCACGAGACCUGCGGACCUGCGGAGGGAUCAUUACCGAGUUUACAACUCCCAAACCCCAAUGUGAACAUUACCUUUACUGUUGCUUCGGCGGGAUCGCCCCGGGCGCGGCCGAGAGGCCCAGCCCCGGAUCCAACGUGCGCCCGCCGGAGGACCCCCAGACUCCAUGUUUCUUGCAAGGUAUUUCUGAGCUGCUCCUAGCGAGCAAAACAAAAAAUGAAUCAAAACUUUCAACAAUG
RNAcentral lists this unclassified non-coding RNA (240 nucleotides) under soil metagenome. Its description in RNAcentral is "partial contains 5.8S ribosomal RNA, internal transcribed spacer 2, and large subunit ribosomal RNA". The record is from RNAcentral.